Molecule: ribosomal RNA, 497 nt
Filed under: uncultured bacterium
Lineage: Bacteria
Description: partial 16S ribosomal RNA
Rfam family: Bacterial small subunit ribosomal RNA
Source: RNAcentral
GAUGAACGCUAGCGGCGUGCCUAAUACAUGCAAGUCGAGCGAACGGACGAGAAGCUUGCUUCUCUGAUGUUAGCGGCGGACGGGUGAGUAACACGUGGAUAACCUACCUAUAGGACUGGGAUAACUUCGGGAAACCGUAGCUAAUACCGGAUAAUAUUUUGAACCGCAUGGUUCAAAAGUGAAAGACGGUCUUGCUGUCACUUAUAGAUGGAUCCGCGCUGCAUUAGCUAGUUGGUAAGGUAACGGCUUACCAAGGCAACGAUGCAUAGCCGACCUGAGAGGGUGAUCGGCCACACUGGAACUGAGACACGGUCCAGACUCCUACGGGAGGCAGCAGUAGGGAAUCUUCCGCAAUGGGCGAAAGCCUGACGGAGCAACGCCGCGUGAGUGAUGAAGGUCUUCGGAUCGUAAAACUCUGUUAUUAGGGAAGAACAUAUGUGUAAGUAACUGUGCACAUCUUGACGGUACCUAAUCAGAAAGCCACGGCUAACUACGUG